RNAcentral lists this ribosomal RNA (546 nucleotides) under uncultured bacterium. RNAcentral's name for it is "partial 16S ribosomal RNA". It matches the Rfam family "Bacterial small subunit ribosomal RNA", at positions 355 to 889 of the family's 1533-position model. The record is from RNAcentral.
UGGGGAAUAUUGCACAAUGGGCGCAAGCCUGAUGCAGCCAUGCCGCGUGUGUGAAGAAGGCCUUCGGGUUGUAAAGCACUUUCAGCGAGGAGGAAGGUGGUGGACUUAAUACGUUCAUCAAUUGACGUUACUCGCAGAAGAAGCACCGGCUAACUCCGUGCCAGCAGCCGCGGUAAUACGGAGGGUGCAAGCGUUAAUCGGAAUUACUGGGCGUAAAGCGCACGCAGGCGGUUUGUUAAGUCAGAUGUGAAAUCCCCGGGCUCAACCUGGGAACUGCAUUUGAAAACUGGCAAGCUAGAGUCUCGUAGAGGGGGGUAGAAUUCCAGGUGUAGCGGUGAAAUGCGUAGAGAUCUGGAGGAAUACCGGUGGCGAAGGCGGCCCCCUGGACGAAGACUGACGCUCAGGUGCGAAAGCGUGGGGAGCAAAACAGGAUUAGAUACCCUGGUAGUCCACGCUGUAAAACGAUGUCGAUUUUGGAGGUUGUGCCCUUGAGGCGUGGCUUCCGGAGCUAACGCGUUAAAUCGACCGCCUGGGGAGUACGGCCGC